UUUUGAAAAAAAAUUAUUUUUUGUCCAUCUGCCUAAUGAGAUAUUCAUUAAAGGCAGUGUUAUUUUUUUUUUUUAAUUUUUAAGUAUUGCUUUAAAACAAAGGUAUAAGUUAGAACUAAGGAAAUUGGAAAGUAAUCUGAUGUUUAAACAAGAACUAAAUCUGUUAGUGUGGGAUUUGAAGAGUUAAAAGUUUCCUUGCUACAUGCAAUUACCAUACUGUUUUUUUUUUUAUUUUAGAGCACAGAAAGUCUAAUUUGUGAUAGUAUGUUACAAUACUUAAUUUAUGUUGUUACUAUUUCAAUGAACUUAUGUUUUGAGAUUAGUUAUUUUCAGCUGUCAGCAGUCUAUAUAUUAGAUAAGUGGCCUGAAAUUAGCUUGAUAUAAUCCCUUUUCCCAUUUCUGACUUUGUUUCCUAUUUAUAAAAAAUGCAUUGGGAAACAACAGCUAGUAUCCUUGCCUUUUCGAACCUUACAGAAAGAGCAUGUUCUCAUUAAUUUUUAUUGCAUAAUCAUAUAUUUUGAAAUCCCAUUUUAAUCAUAAAUGCUUAACAUUUUGAUGAAGUAAAAAUUACUGUCAAAUCCUGCAGAUUAUACCAUUCUGAUUCCACUUGCUUUUUGAUAGGCAGAGAUACAGUUUGUUUUACCUGUGUGAUGCUUCUCAUUCCUAUACUAUUUAAAAUUUGAAACAAAGUCAGUAUUUUGAAAAUAGAUUGUUGCAACCAGUUUCAUAAUAAAGUAAUACAUCAAACUUUCAUUAUUUGUUUCAUUAAGCAAUAUUUAUCAUGGAAAAUAUGAAAUGUAGUAUAAAAAAAUGUACAAUGUGCAAAUAUUGAUCUCAAUAUGUGUGAAUAAAAAUAAGAAUGCAGAAAUUCCUGAUCUUUUUUAAG
RNAcentral lists this long non-coding RNA (886 nucleotides) under Mytilus galloprovincialis (Mediterranean mussel). The record is from RNAcentral. Lineage: Eukaryota; Metazoa; Mollusca; Bivalvia; Mytilida; Mytilidae.